GAGGGAGGCUCGCUAGCACCAAGAACUGCUAAUUCUUGUCACCUUGGUUGGACCCCUGGGCUCCCUUG
This 68-nucleotide transfer RNA is filed under the name Sillago aeolus (oriental sillago). Its description in RNAcentral is "tRNA-Ser". RNAcentral also lists the same sequence under 1 other name. The record is from RNAcentral. Lineage: Eukaryota; Metazoa; Chordata; Actinopteri; Sillaginidae.